Molecule: long non-coding RNA, 7874 nt
Organism: Gorilla gorilla gorilla (western lowland gorilla)
Lineage: Eukaryota; Metazoa; Chordata; Mammalia; Primates; Hominidae
Exons: 5
Source: RefSeq, a predicted model, not a curated record
AGGACUGGUUGUUUUGCUUUCAGUUUGCUUCCUCGACUAUCAUCAUGAGAUCAAAAGCUGUGUUUUUUAUACCACAUGACAGCCCGAUGCCCCACACAGGGUCAGCAUUAAACAAAAUUUUUGAUAGGAUCAGGUGAGCCAAAGGAUGAAUAAAUGAGUACUCACGUUCAGGUGGCAUCAGGUGGGAAUUGUGGCUAGGUAAAAUGGCAUCUUGUUACAAUGGUAAUUUCAGUCACCUAUUCCUUACCUCUUCUGGGCAGGCGGAUUGAUUUGCAAUUGGCUUCUUUUCUUCUUUCUCACUCUACUAAUACUAGAUGGAAAUCUCAUUGACUCUUAACAACAAAGCAAGUAUCUUACCAUAUUCACAGGUUCUACCCCACCUACUAGGGAAGUAAAAGUAUACAGGGAGUGGAAAUCUUGGGGCCAUCUUAGAAUCCUGCCCACCACAAGCAGCAAAAUAUUCCUGCUCCAAUAUGUUUCCCAUAGCUACCUUGUGUCUUCCAACUUCAUGUGAGUGGUGUGUUUGUUGCUUUGCUUAUGGGCAAAGAUGAUUUUUUGGGGGAGAUAUUUGAUUAACCUUCUAACUUCUUUUAUCUUUGACACCUUCAGUCUUCCUUCAUUUACCUUUAUACAGACUUUAUUAUAAGGUCACUUUUCUUUUCCUUUUUCCUUUAGGGUCUCUUCCCUUUGCAUAGAUUAUUGGAACUCUCCACUUACAAAGACUAGCUUUUAUGCUUCCAACUCUUGAUAUCAAGUUUUUAUCUAGCAUCAGACCUUGAAUGUGAGUUGUCCAUGUGUCAGAACUGUCUUUCAAAAUCAAAAGUUUCACAUACCAUUUUCGAUUAUCCCAAAGGAAAUGCUAGGCACCUAUUUAUUCCACAAUUAUUUUUAAAGUGUGUAUGUAUUAAUUGUGCACAUACUAUUUUAUUAUUUACAAAGUGAGUUAAGCACAGUAUUCCUGUUCAAAAUACGAAAAUAAGUAUCAUGGAAAAGUGGCAACUGUGUCUUAUGUUCCUUCAUUUUUAGCACCUUGUUAUUCCUUUUAUAUAAAACUCUGGUGUACACACAGUUUUUCCUCUUUUCUGGAAAAUGUGAAUAAAUUACAUUUCCUUUGUACAUUCCGUGCUGUCUUGGACAAAAUCAAACACUUGAGGGUAGAAAUGAAUUGUAUUCCAGUAGUAGAUAGGACAAUUUUUCACUCCUUUCAACUUAGGCGUUGUAUUAGUUUUCUACAAAUAACAACUAUAGACUGAACGACUUAAACAACAGGAAUUUAUUUUUUCACGAUUCUGGAGGCAAGGAGUCCCAGCUCAAGGUGUUGGCAGGGUAGGUUUUUCUGAGCCCCAUCCUUUGCUUUGCAAAUGGGUAUCUUCUCCCUAUGUCUUCACAUGGUCUUCUCUGUGUUUUUGUGUCCUAACCUCCUCUUCUUAUAAGGACACCAGUCAUUGGAUUCAGGCCCAUCCUACUGAUCUCCUUUAAUUUAAUUACCUCUUUAAAGACACUAACUCCACCUACAGUCAGAUUUUGAGGUACUGGGAGUAAGGACUUCAGCAUCUGAAUUGGGGAGGAGACAAUUCAGCCUGUAACAGUCAUGAUAUGAAUUAACUGCUAUUGUGCAUGAGAUGUCUAACGAAAAGACAGAAAAGAAGUGUAAAGAAGUGAUUACUGAGAUCAACAAAUGUUACUAUAGGACUGCCAGUCUAUAGCUACUGCAGAUAUAUAUAUAUAUAUAUAACAAUGUAAUAGUGGGUGAUUUGUAGAUGAUAAUAGACCAUUCAGAGAAACAAGUUGAAUAUUUUCUUACAUUGGAAAAAAAAAGGGGACACAAAAGAAAUGAUUUCCCAGCAUUUUAUUAGAUUCCAUAAGAAUUCUGAGCAUCAAACUAUACACUGCUAUAUAUGAAGCCAAAUCCAAUGGGAAUCUUUUGAUUUUACAUAUCGAUCACUUUCAAAAUAAGGAUACUAGCCUUAUUUGCUGUGCAAUAUUAUCAUGACAUGCAUUUUUAAUUUAUUGGGUCUUUCAGUUUUUAUGCAUCUAUAAAGCCUAAUAGUUCAGCCUCUCUGUAGGCAUCUUUGCUACUUCCUAUCUGAGGAAAUAAUGUUUUAUUAUAAAAUUACAAUUUUUUUGUAAUUUAGAUCUGUACUUUCUAAGAUAAGAAAACAGAUCUAUCAUUUGGGGCAAGAAUAGAAACAAAAUAAACUCUCUUAAAGCAGGGGAAACAACUUUCUGAAAAAAAAAAAUUGAAGACACACCUUUCGUGUAUUUUAGGAACAUUUCACUUUUGCUCAUCUUCUGACUGCAUUGUGAACCAUCAUAGCUAGAUCAAAAUUAGUUAUGUUAAUAAACAAAAACAAAAAUUCUGUCUAUUUGCCUUACAUUAAGAGAUAUCCUUUUGCCUGAUGCAACAACAGAAACUAAAAUCUCUAACGAAAAACAUCCUGGCUUCUCUCACCAUCGUUGUCCAAUAGGAAGGAAUUUGGUCAGGAGUAAAAAUAACUCAGUUAUGAUCCAUGUUAUUACACUCCUCUGAGCUUCUUUCUCUCUUCCACAUGUUGAAUGACUUACUGGUUUAUUUUUGCCACAUACAUAAUGUUUGGCUCCUAUCUCAUGUGCAAUCAGUCUUAAUUAUUGGAUCUCUUUCCCCCCUACAAUCAGAUCAUUUUGAUUAUUACUUUAAUUGUACAUUCCCUAACUAACUUCUCUCUAGUUUGUUUUUAACUUCAGGCUACCUGUGGGCAUAACGUUUUACAAUUCAGAAUGUGAAUUUUACACUUAGCCUAAUAACUAAAUAAGCUUAGAAAUUUAGGUACGGUAAAUUAGGUCACUUGGUACCUUUUCAUACAAGGAAAGCAAACUUCUUGUGUGCCUAGGUGUUGCUUUUGGAGAAACUUUCCUGAGCAUUGAGGAGUCAGUGCUAACUCCUGCAACCAUGUGAGUCUCUCCGACUCUGUGAUGCCAACUUACCAUCUUGCUGUAGUCGAAGAGCUUUAGGUUGGAGUGAAUGGGUACCAUCUUUGUUCUUAGAGGUGGACUCUAAGGACCUUGUUUUUGUAGGAAAACACAAGGGCUAUUUUAGUGUUAAUUUGAACACAUCAGAAGAGUUUACAUCAGAAUUUCAAAGAAACGUAGGAAUCCUUGUUACCUUUAAAUCUCAAAUUUUCUCCAUGAUAUAAAAUAUCAGUCUUCUUUUAAAAGAUCAGAAAUUACCCCAAUGACCAGAUCCAAAUGCUGAACAACAAACAGUCCAGAUUUACCAUGAGGAAUAGGGUUAAUAUUUGCUCCCCAAUGACAAAUCCCAACCCGGAACAGAUUUCAGCCAGGCAGCUAGCAAAGCUCGCGGGUGAACUGCACAGGCCAUGGUGGGUGCAGAGCUCAGAGCCGGAAAGCAAACAGCUGCUGUAGCCUGAUUUGAGUUAAAAUAGUGUGAGUGUUUAGUCUGGCGCACGGCUUCAGGGGAGAUUGGCAGCUGGGUCAAACAAAGUCCUUCCAUUGGCUCCCUUCCCAGGCAGCUUCUGCUAGUGUUUAGGUACUAGUGCAGUGUAGAACCCUUUUCUCAGGCAAAACCUAACAUCUGACCGCACCCUUUUUGCUAUUAAAAAAAAAAAAAAAAAAAGCUUCUAUUUUUUUCCUCCUGUCGUUAAGAUAAAUUCUCCAGUAGACAACCUCUCCCACUAAUUGUGUAUUAGCAACGUAUUUUAUCUUGAGAGCUUGUACACUGGGCUCUCAACGUGGUGUGGAAGGUAGCCUGUUACAGUGCUGGAUUCAUAAAAGGGCCUUUAUGGUUUGUGAAAGAAUAUCUGUGUGCUUAGGGAGGAAACUUUUUGAUCUGCAGAAAAGCCAGAAGACAUCUAGGACAUCCAUAAAAAUUCAUCAGAGAGCAUUUUACUACUGAGCUGCAAAGGGAAAAACUUAAAAUGGAUAUGAAAAGUGAAGAAAGUGAUCAUAGGAGAAAACCAUUUCAGGUAUCUGAUGAUUUGUGAGCCUCAAGUGACUACUCUGUGGAAUCAUCUGUCCUUGCCUUUGAAUUAGCUUUCCCUAGGCCAUGAGUCAACAUUAGUAGUUUAUACAUCCAAAUUGAUGACAAGAGCACCUCAAAGGCAGCAGCCUCAAGGAGCAGCCAUGGCCCCAGAGUUGUCGCACGGAUGCAGAAAACUUAAUGGAGGAGGCUGAGGUCAGAAUGGGAAGAGUUUUUAAAAAGUAAAAAGGGGAGCUAAUAUGUGAGGAACUGAUUGCUGUGCAUUAUUUUCCACUGAACAGACCUUCUUUUAACUUCUAAUCUCAAGCACAUAGCAGCUGUUGUUUUCAUAUUAAAGAUCAGUAAGUGUUUGUUGAAUGAAUGUAUAAAUUCUUCCCCAAUCUCUGUUCCAUGUAAUAAGAACUAAGUUAGCAUUCAAUUAUAAAGAGGACUUAGAAAGUCUGCAGACAUUUUUGAUCAAAAAUCCUUUUAACUGUCUUCUUAUGGUUCCCGGUAACACCUAAGCCCAAAAAACUCAGGUCAUUUCUUGCCUAUACUGUUACAAUAGCCUCAUAAUAACUAGUCUUCUCCUUUAUCAACCACAGUCGUCUCCACUACACAAAGAAGAGAGGGUGCUAAUCUAAAGUGUAAAUUAUUUUAAAUCAGCACCCUUCUUGUAAUUUCCCAGUGGUUUUUCCUGUCAUAAGAAUAACAUGCAAAAUUCCUUGCUUGCAAAGCCAGGUAUGACCUUGCCCCGCCUACCUUACCGGCAUCGUCUCUCAUGACUCUUCCGCUUUUUCACUCUCCAUCUUGCCUUUUCCCAACCAUGCCUGCUAGUGAGCCUUAGCCCUUGUGUUCUCUCUGCCAGGGAUGCAUGACUGGCUUCUUUACUUUAUUCUGAUCUCUCUGCUCAAAUGUCAUCUUUUUAGAGAUAGCUUUCCUAAACAUCUUUAAAAGUACCCCAUUAACUGUGAAACACCUUUCCUGCUUUAAGUUUUCUUCAUAGUACUUAUCACUUCCUGAUAUUAUGUUAGACAACAAGCAAAUAAGUAUAUGCUGUUCCCACUAAAAUAUAAGCUCCAUUUGAACAGGAGCCUUGAUUAUUCCUGAGUAUACCCCUAGUGCCCAGAACCUAGUAGGGCUUUAAUAAAUAUUAGAUUCAUUUGUUGCAUGAAAAAAUGAAUGAAUAAUUGAAUAAAGAUAUCCAGGUAGAGUGUCCGGGCAGCCCAACCUAUGUGAAGCCAGUACAAGAAUGUUUCUGUGACAUAGUGAAUGCAAUUAUUCCUCUAAAUGAUGAACUUGCAUGAGCACACAAGGAUAAAAUUAAGCACGUAGUUUAGAUUUCUGCAAGUCUCUUCCUCAGAUUGAGGAAAAACAAAGAAAUUGAGCUUAUUCUCACCUCAUUCUUACAUGAACUAAAUCCAGAAUAAAGCAUCAUUUAUAUACCAAGCACAUCCCUACCUCAGCCACUCAUGGAAUACUUUAUCUGUAAAGGGACAGAUAGUAAAUAUUUUUGGCUUUGGGGACCAUACAGUCUGUGUCGCCACUACUCAGCACUUCUGUUGAGGUGUGGAAUCAGCCCUAGACAACACAUAAACAAAUAGGCGUGGCUGUGUUCCAAUAAAAUGUUAUUUAUAAAACUAGGAAAUCAGCAGAUUUAGUCCACAGGCUGUAGUUUGCUGACCCUUGAAUUAGAGAGUCUUCCCCAAAUCCUCUUCCCAAGUUAUUGAAAGAAUGCCCAUAGGACCAUAGCUCCCUCACCUGGUUCUUUCAAGAAAUGAGACAAAUUCAGGGAUGGUUGGAGGGUGGAACGCCUACCUGUGACAUGACUAUUGAGCCUGAUUUCUUUCCUUUUAUCUCUUUAAAGUGAGUCAGGUCUUAGCUUUAAACUGUCUCUAAAGUGGCAAUAACUGGGCCAUGUCAAAUACUCCCAAUGACAAAAUUUCUUCUUGGAGAAUGAAUGAGGGUUGCAUACAGUGGUGUGUUGGUAAAUGUUUAGCAACUGGCUCUCUUACUGAUUUCUGUAGUGUAAAUUCUCCCAUCCUGGCCAUCUGAAACUACCAAUAUGAUGUCACUUAAUGUAGAGUUGGGAAAAGACAGUCUCUUGAAUAAGUAUGAGCUGGUUCCAGCCCACUGCUGAACACAUAUUUAAAAGCUACAAUAGCUCUGCUCACUGCCAUUGCAGAGUCUGGAGGAAAGAGUAGUGGGCUUGAUAGGAGCAAUUGGCUGGAUAAUCUUUUGCAAUGCCAAUAAAUAAUGAAAAAGUAUAUAAAUAUCAUGCUGUAUAGAAAGCUUUCAAGUUCAGUGUUUGGUUAAAAUACAUACUCAGUAAAUGGUAGCUAUUAUCGUCUUAGUUUAAGUUAUUGCAAGCAUUAAAAUUAAAUGUUUAGCUACAGACUCAAUCCAAUUUUAAUGUCAUUGUGUUAAUAAGGCCUCUUAACAUUGAAGCAACAAAGAUAAAGGAAUUUUUUUGUAGCUAUUCACGAUUCUGCCCAGCUCAAGGUAAAGAUAGCAACAAAAUACUCCAACCAGAAUAAAAGAAGUCUCCACUUGACUGCAGCUCUUCACAACACUUCAUAAGGGUCAAGCUGUGUUAGUUUCCUUCAGUGUUAAAGAGAAUGCGUCUUAAGAGAAUAGUUCAAUUAUUGAUUGAAUAGUAGGUUCAAGUUGACUAUAAUCCCGACUAAUAUACUCUAAGACCAGGGAUGGGCCAACAGAAGGGUAAAGUUUUCCACUCAAGUCUCGAGGCAAACACUCAGAUAGAAGUAGUAAUAUGGAUGCCUUCUAUUAUUUGGUCACAUACAAUACUGUUCCAGCCCAGUUGUGCAAAACUGGUGAAAUAAAAGGCAAAAAUAUUGACAACAGUUUGGGUAACUGGAUUCCAAAAUGAGCAUCCAUCUAAGAGAAAUUAAUGAAAAAAAAAGUAUAUGGACCUUGAAAUCCAUUAAUACACAGUUUAGGUUUAAACACUCAGUUUUUGUUAGAAAAGACUAACAUAUGCUGUUUUGAACACUACAAAAGUGCUUUCUGAACCAUUUACUCUCAAACCUCCUCCACCCAUUCCCCUCCAUCUAUAACGCUUUCUGCACAUCUGUAAAAGGUAUGACUUAGUGUUUGGUCUGUGAAAUAAGGUUAAAAAGGAAGCAUUUCUUUUUACAUUCUAGCUAAUGUUGAUAUUUUUCUCAUGCUUCUAUUAGCACAUAAUUCAGAUACAUUAGUUUUGAAGUUUUGAAUCUUCUCUGCUUCUUGAGGGCUCUCUGUUCUAGAUCAACAUUAUCUGUGGAACACCAGCCAAGUCCUGGGCAGAAUCCUCCCCAUUGUCCAAAUAUUACUGAAUCAGUUGAGUUUUCUCUGUUGUCAAUGAAUUAUUCCACAUGUUUCUUUGCUACAUUUUCUUUUGGCUUUCUGUUCACAGUAAAUGAUAGCUUUUGUUUUUAAAAACUUCUAUUACGAAAAUUCCAAAUAUAUGCAAAUUAGAGAGAAUAGCAUAAUGAACCUCUAUGUGCUUAUCACACAUAUAGGUUCAACUAAUUAAAUUAUAUCAAUUUAUGGCCAAUCUGGUUUCAUUUAUAACAUCAUUCGCUCAUUCCUAACUCCCUGGAUUAUUUGAUUGACAUGUUUCUAAAGUUCCUUUUAAUCUAUAGGUUCCCCCUCUCAUUUAAUCUUUUGCAACUUAUUCAUUGAUGAAACUGGGUUAUUUGUCCUUUAUUGUUUCUCUCAUUCUGAAAUAUGUUGUAAUGUCAUUAACCAUAUUCUUCUUUCCUGUAUUUUCCGUAAGCUUUGAGCUAGGCAGAAAUAUUUUAAUCAGAUUCCUUUUUUUUUCUUUUAGCAAGAUUUCUUCAUAAAUAAUAUUGUAUGUGUUCAUGAAAAUAGAAAUAAAAAUAGAAAUAAAGAAGAAAUAACAGAAAAAGGACAGAAA